RNAcentral lists this ribosomal RNA (1070 nucleotides) under uncultured fungus. RNAcentral describes it as "eukaryotic LSU rRNA". The stretch from base 477 to 1070 matches the Rfam family "Eukaryotic large subunit ribosomal RNA", at positions 1 to 600 of the family's 3401-position model. Lineage: Eukaryota; Fungi. The record is from RNAcentral.
GAUCAUUAGAAUGAGAUCGGUGGGCGAAAGCCCGCUAACCUCCACCCUUGUGUAUCAUUCACUUGUUGCUUUGGUGGGCCGCAAGCCUAACGGUGAGCACCGGCUUCGGCUGGGGAGUGCCUGCCAGAGGACCCAACUCUGUAUUAUUAUGAAAUCUGAGUACUAUACAAUAGUUAAAACUUUCAACAACGGAUCUCUUGGUUCUGGCAUCGAUGAAGAACGCAGCGAAAUGCGAUAAGUAAUGUGAAUUGCAGAAUUCAGUGAAUCAUCGAAUCUUUGAACGCACAUUGCGCCCUCUGGUAUUCCGGGGGGCAUGCCUGUUCGAGCGUCAUUAUAACCAAUCACGCAAGUGGUCUUGGGGGCUUGCCGUCGGCAUCCCUUAAAAAUAGUGGCAGUGCUAUAGGCUCUCAGCGCAGUAAUUAUUUCGCUCUUGAGCCCUAGAACCACCCGCCAAAACCCCCUAACUUUUUUCAGGUUGACCUCGGAUCAGGUAGGGAUACCCGCUGAACUUAAGCAUAUCAAUAAGCGGAGGAAAAGAAACCAACAGGGAUUACCUCAGUAACGGCGAGUGAAGCGGUAACAGCUCAAAUUUGAAAUCUGGCUCUCGGGCCCGAGUUGUAAUUUGUAGAAGAUGCUUUGGGUGUGGCUCCGGCCUAAGUUCCUUGGAACAGGACGUCAUAGAGGGUGAGAAUCCCGUACGUGACUGGUCGCCUUCGCCUGUGUAAAGCUCUUUCGACGAGUCGAGUUGUUUGGGAAUGCAGCUCAAAAUGGGUGGUAUAUUUCAUCUAAAGCUAAAUAUUGGCCAGAGACCGAUAGCGCACAAGUAGAGUGAUCGAAAGAUGAAAAGCACUUUGGAAAGAGAGUUAAACAGUACGUGAAAUUGUUGAAAGGGAAGCGCUUGCAACCAGACUUGCAGGCUGCUGAUCAUCCGGGGUUCUCCCCGGUGCACUCGGUAGCUUUCAGGCCAGCAUCGGUUUGAGUGGUGGGAUAAAGGCCUUAGGAAUGUAGCUUCUCUCGGGGAGUGUUAUAGCCUAAGGUGCAAUGCCGCCUACUUGGACCGAGGACCGCGC